RNAcentral lists this small RNA (19 nucleotides) under Arabidopsis thaliana (thale cress). RNAcentral describes it as "Ath_wt_12787". The record is from RNAcentral. Lineage: Eukaryota; Viridiplantae; Streptophyta; Magnoliopsida; Brassicales; Brassicaceae.
CCGAGUGCCGCUCACGCCC